This 465-nucleotide ribosomal RNA is filed under the name Vreelandella stevensii. RNAcentral describes it as "partial 16S ribosomal RNA". It matches the Rfam family "Bacterial small subunit ribosomal RNA", at positions 338 to 795 of the family's 1533-position model. Lineage: Bacteria; Pseudomonadati; Pseudomonadota; Gammaproteobacteria; Oceanospirillales; Halomonadaceae. The record is from RNAcentral.
CCUACGGGAGGCUGCAGUGGGGAAUAUUGGACAAUGGGGGGAACCCUGAUCCAGCCAUGCCGCGUGUGUGAAGAAGGCCCUCGGGUUGUAAAGCACUUUCAGUGAGGAAGAACGCCUGGUGGUUAAUACCCAUCAGGAAAGACAUCACUCACAGAAGAAGCACCGGCUAACUCCGUGCCAGCAGCCGCGGUAAUACGGAGGGUGCGAGCGUUAAUCGGAAUUACUGGGCGUAAAGCGCGCGUAGGUGGCUUGAUAAGCCGGUUGUGAAAGCCCCGGGCUCAACCUGGGAACGGCAUCCGGAACUGUCAAGCUAGAGUGCAGGAGAGGAGGGUAGAAUUCCCGGUGUAGCGGUGAAAUGCGUAGAGAUCGGGAGGAAUACCAGUGGCGAAGACGGCCUUCUGGACUGACACUGACACUGAGGUGCGAAAGCGUGGGUAGCAAACAGGAUUAGAUACCCGAGUAGUC